RNAcentral lists this ribosomal RNA (254 nucleotides) under uncultured bacterium. RNAcentral describes it as "partial 16S ribosomal RNA". It matches the Rfam family "Bacterial small subunit ribosomal RNA", at positions 524 to 776 of the family's 1533-position model. The record is from RNAcentral.
CACGUAGGGGCCAAGCGUUGUCCGGAUUUAUUAGGCGUAAAGAGCUCGUAGGCGGUUGGGUAAGUCGGGUGUGAAAACUCCGGGCUCAACUCGGAGACGCCACCCGAUACUGCUCUGACUUGAGUCCGGUAGGGGAGUGGGGAAUUCCUGGUGUAGCGGUGAAAUGCGCAGAUAUCGGGAGGAACACCGGUGGCGAAGGCGGUUCUCUGGGCCUGUACUGACGCUGAGGAGCGAAAGCGUGGGGAGCAAACAGG